AACAUUAAUAAUAUUUAGUGUUUGUUUUAAUAAUGUCAUUAUAAAUAUUAUCUUUCAUUGUUUGUAUAUUAUAUUGUCGAAUACUUACAUCCAAAUUGUACUUGUACCGGAACUAAGGGCAAUAUAUUUAUGUUGAAGUUAAUGUGAAGAAACUCUAAUAUAUAUCAAAGUAUUUAUUGAAAUUUUCAAUAUUCCGAAAAACUCUUUAUGAAUUUGAAUGUCCCACAAAAGUGCCUUACAAAUGUUUGAAAGUACGAUAACGACGCCUAAAAAUGUAUUGAACAUCCAUGCUUUACCGUUGGAGGAAUGUACGAGUGCAUUUAUUAUAACGAGAAAGCCAGUCUUGUUGAUAACAAUGGGUCAAUGGAUCAUUGUCGAGUUUCUCCAAAUAUCUUAUAAAGGACAUAAUCGCUUUUAACAUUGAUUGCAGUUUCGCGGACUUCAUCGUCGAGGCUAUCACCUGCCAAUUACUGAGGUUGGGACUUCUGGAAAUGCAAAAGCACAUACGAAAUAAAAAUGUGUUUAAUAUCAAAAAUAAUUAAACCGAAAGAUGUCAGGGUGUAUACGUUUAACUGGAGCUGCGAUCUAUUUAGUGUAGUUAUUUUUGAACUUAGCUUACUCGAUUGUCGUUUUUGACUACAGUAGACAAACCAUUUGCCUGAAAGAAUUAAAAUCAAUUCCUACUGAAAGAUAUAUAAGGACCACUACAAAAGUUUUUAAAAAAAAAAAAUACUU
Molecule: long non-coding RNA, 735 nt
Organism: Teleopsis dalmanni
Lineage: Eukaryota; Metazoa; Arthropoda; Insecta; Diptera; Diopsidae
Exons: 4
Source: RefSeq, a predicted model, not a curated record